ACCGGGGCUUGCCUUCGUUCACAGGUGAGUCGGGUUCGGAUCCGCAAAUAUCGAAGUAAAAGCAGUUGCCUGCUUGAGAAUCCGAAGGUGGUGGUGUCCUUUCUUCGGGGACUUCUAUUUCUUCUUCACGUUCUAACAUAACCAUAUAUAUACAUAAGAAUGGAUGCCAUGGGAUGCUCAUGAGGAUGCAAAGAUAAUAUAAACUUAUUAUCUAUGUCUUGAAUACAACUUUCCUUCACGGAACUCCGAGAACUUAGGGUUUCCGGAGUCAACAGUGAAGUUCAAAGAGCAGGGGGGUGGGGGUUUUGGGUUCUAAUUAUCAAACAAGGUCCAAAUCAAACCAAAAUCUACCCAAGGCUUCUAAAUAACGUUUAGAGUUCAAAUAAAAAGUUUGGGCAUUUUUGGAAUAAUUAUCUAUUCUCUAGAAAUCCAGAACCAAUGUUUUAGGCUAUUUUAAAUGCUCCAAAAUUCCUUAUUUGACCUAAAAAUCAUAAAACUAUUUUUAUUAAAUACUAUGGAAAUUAGGAGUCUAGCAAAAUUGGUUUGAUAUUUUUAGCAUUUUUCUGAAAUUUUCUAUGGAUUUCUAAAGCUGAUUGGAAAAAGAAAAGGAAAAACUACUAACAGUGUUGGGCCCAAACCGCUGGCGCGGUCCAACAACCAGGCAAAGCUGGCCCAAACCCGGGAGCCCGCGCCCGCUUUGGCCAGCUUGCACAUAGGACCUUGCGCUCUGGUUAAAACAAUCAGAGCUCCCAGCCACUGUUGCUUGUGUCUCUGACAUCCUCGCUAAAACCCCUUGGCUUCCACUUAUUUACAAGCACUCGGCCCCGACACCGCCCAUACGGACUCCGGCGACCCAGCACCAGCUCGGCCAUGGUGGCGCAACACCGGCGACGGCGAUGGUACCCACGCGAACCCCGAAUCGCAGUGAACUCGGGUAUGGGCUCCAUCGAUCCAUGAGAAUUCCACAACCCAUCUAUCGACAGCGACGGCGGAACACUGGAUCCGACGAACUCAAUUCCCCGAUCACCGCACGGUAGUGUUCAAACAAACGGGCCAGGGAGCUUUAGAGACCUCUCAAGUCUACGGUGCACGCGCGCAAUCGCUCGGGAAUGGCGCGGUUAAUACGGUCCACACCGAGGCUGUCCUCGGUGCCCGACCGCGACGGCGCGACCGUGUUCUACUCAACGUAUGGCGGUAGAGCUUGAACAAAUCACUUGAUCAGCAGCCAUUGACCAAUACAGAUCAUGGAACACAAGCCACACGGGUGAGAAACUUUCUGAGCAUACCUGGCCACGGUGAAGUGGAAUAUCUGCAGGUGUGGUCACCAGACACGUUCAGUGCCUUAAUCGAUGGAAUUGGGCGCGUCCAGGGUAUGAUUUGGGGAAGGAAGAGCAAUACUGCUGACUGAAGCUACUCACUAUGAUUGAUGAUCGAAGCACGGAUCACUGAACUGGCCUAUGCUUUCUUUCCCUCCCCUGUUGCUCUUUAUAUAGGAAGGGAAAAGAUCAAGGGGGGUUGGAUUCUGGAACUUGCAGCAAGGAUAACUGUGAGCAUGGGAUGCAGUCGUGGCUUACUCCAGAAGAUCCACGCAGAUUCACAGAAUACAGCCAUGCAGGGUGACGAUUAUCCAUGGAAAAAGGAGGGGGUAAGGGUGGAGCGCACUGUAGCAGAUUUUUCUACUGAUGAUAUUUCAGCUAUGCACGAGUCUGGAUAUUUCUGCUCCUUCUUAUCCCAACCACCGCUCUAUUUCACAGUGGGACACGACAGGGGAAGAAAAUAUUAGAGCCAGAUAUUUCUUAC
This 1800-nucleotide long non-coding RNA is filed under the name Zea mays. RNAcentral's name for it is "long non-coding RNA (ZMAY_LNC003279)". Lineage: Eukaryota; Viridiplantae; Streptophyta; Magnoliopsida; Poales; Poaceae. The record is from RNAcentral.